This 519-nucleotide unclassified non-coding RNA is filed under the name Hevea brasiliensis (rubber tree). The record is from RNAcentral. Lineage: Eukaryota; Viridiplantae; Streptophyta; Magnoliopsida; Malpighiales; Euphorbiaceae.
CAUGUGUAUAACAAAAUGCUCAUCCAAACCCUCCCUUGGAAGACAUCUAGCUUUCACAGAUGAGACAACGUAAUCCCUUCCAGGGGGACUCAAAACAUUAGAUGGCAAUCUUAUCCUAUAGAACUCAUCGCCAAUAAGCAGUUUCUCAAAAUUCCCCUUUUCCGCUUGUGUAAACGCAUUUCUCGAAAACCUCAGCUUCGUGAGUGUCUGGCCGCCAUGACUCCAAGUUUUGAGGCGAGCAGAGAAGGUGCCGGCGGGAACAAAAUCCGAGUCACCGAAUGCGUGUUCGAGGGAAAAUUGGAUCUUAGAAUCCGAAUCGGAAUCCGAAAACUUCCGUCGGGUAGUAGUGGUAGGAGUUGGGGAUGAUCUGAUGUAUGUAGGAUCAGAGGAGCGUUGGUGACGCUGAGGAGGCGCUCCUUCGAGGCCGAAUUCUUCAUCAUCUACAAGAAGCUCAUCUGAUUGGAAAGCGUGAAAAGAUGAAGUUAAGAGAAAAACAGAGAACAUGAAACUGAGAAAUCG